UACGUAGGGGGCAAGCGUUGUCCGGAAUCAUUGGCGUAAAGAGCGUGUAGGCGGCUCGGUAAGUCCGCUGUGAAAGUCCAGGGCUCAACCCUGGAAUGCCGGUGGAAACUGUCGGGCUAGAGUCCGGAAGAGGGCGAGUGGAAUUCCUGGUGUAGCGGUGAAAUGCGCAGAUAUCAGGAGGAACACCAAUGGCGAAGGCAGCUCGCUGGGACGGUACUGACGCUGAGACGCGAAGCGUGGGGAGCAAACAGG
RNAcentral lists this ribosomal RNA (252 nucleotides) under uncultured bacterium. Its description in RNAcentral is "partial 16S ribosomal RNA". It matches the Rfam family "Bacterial small subunit ribosomal RNA", at positions 524 to 776 of the family's 1533-position model. The record is from RNAcentral.